Molecule: long non-coding RNA, 525 nt
Organism: Pygocentrus nattereri (red-bellied piranha)
Lineage: Eukaryota; Metazoa; Chordata; Actinopteri; Characiformes; Serrasalmidae
Exons: 2
Source: RefSeq, a predicted model, not a curated record
GUGUUAUUGAAGAACACACAAGCACUUCAAGAGGACCACAAAGGUAAAAAUAACAUGCCCAAAACAGCAGCGCAUUCCAUCAGCACUGCAGUCACACUGAUCACAUUUGCUGUUGGUCCAGGAGGAUCCCACAGGAUGCCAGGUCUUAUCUAAGAGGUCCUGACAAUGAGUGGCGCCUAUCAAAGCUCAGAAGUUAGUAACACAUCACAAUAUAAACCGACAUGAACAUAACAGGGCACAACUCUUUGGAUACCUCUUUUCAGCAACGCCGUGAAGCAGGCGGCAUCAUUCAGAGGAACGAGAGCAAACAGCACCAACCCCACGAACACUGACCUCUUCAGCACAGGAACAAAACACAUGUAAACAAACGGAGUUCACGAACACCUCCGCACUCUGUCUGGAGAAUUUUUAUGUUUUAAUGAACUGCAUUGUUCUACUCUUUUUAUUGGUAUGACUAGCAAGACUGCAAUUUUCUUUCCAAUGUGAGAAAAAUCCAGUUUCAUUAAAAUGGAUUAUUUUCACUGA